GCAGAGUAGGAUUUUGUGCGUAAAGUGCCGGGUGAACAGGGAGUUGUCAUCCGGACGAAAAGCAAACUGCUUGCGAUAUGAAGUCCGCAUCCCGCUGC
This 98-nucleotide non-coding RNA is filed under the name uncultured Agathobacter sp. RNAcentral's name for it is "THF riboswitch". It matches the Rfam family "THF (Tetrahydrofolate) riboswitch aptamer". Rfam says of the family: THF riboswitch presents a pseudoknot that joins P1-P2 and the loop of P3 and two THF binding. The record is from RNAcentral. Lineage: Bacteria; Bacillati; Bacillota; Clostridia; Lachnospirales; Lachnospiraceae.